GUCCACGCCGUAAACGAUGAUUACUAGGUGUGGGGGGACUGACCCCUCCCGUGCCGGAGUUAACACAAUAAGUAAUCCACCUGGGGAGUACGACCGCAAGGUUGAAACUCAAAGGAAUUGACGGGGGCCCGCACAAGCAGUGGAGUAUGUGGUUUAAUUCGAAGCAACGCGAAGAACCUUACCAGGUCUUGACAUCGAGUGACGAACUUAGAGAUAAGUUUUUCCUUCGGGACACGAAGACAGGUGGUGCAUGGUUGUCGU
RNAcentral lists this ribosomal RNA (261 nucleotides) under uncultured bacterium. RNAcentral's name for it is "partial 16S ribosomal RNA". It matches the Rfam family "Bacterial small subunit ribosomal RNA", at positions 793 to 1055 of the family's 1533-position model. The record is from RNAcentral.